AUAUGGUACAAUAGAAGGAUUGAGAAGGGACUGGAAUUUGCAGCAGGACUUCUUUGAGAACUAGCAACUGGCUCUACAGUUAUGCUCACCUAUAAUACGUGAUGAAUGGAUUAUAUGGGCCAGUGCAAGACCCAGACCUGGAUUUUCAACUUGGCGAAGAAUUAGAAACCAGUGAGGAAGAACUAAAGAAUCUCUUCUUUAUCAAAUGAGCAUCACUGGAUUAUGUAGACCCCCUGGGUCCUUGGUGUGUACACCAAUUCUUCUGUGUGGGAAACUGCAACAGAUCAUUGCUGGGACAGCCAGGCUCAACUUCAGCUUUCUCUGCUACUAUU
This 332-nucleotide long non-coding RNA is filed under the name Capra hircus (goat). RNAcentral describes it as "lncRNA (ENSCHIG00000004041.1)". Lineage: Eukaryota; Metazoa; Chordata; Mammalia; Artiodactyla; Bovidae. The record is from RNAcentral.